Lates calcarifer (barramundi perch) is the source of this 3729-nucleotide long non-coding RNA. RefSeq lists it as uncharacterized. The record is from RefSeq and is a predicted model, not a curated record. Lineage: Eukaryota; Metazoa; Chordata; Actinopteri; Centropomidae. The transcript has 3 exons.
AGCUCGGUGUCGGAGGCGCCAUGGCGGGGUCGAAAUUUAAAACCCUGCGGGCUUCACAGCUAAACUGCCCUUGUUUGCAAUCGUUUCUAAAAGUUAACAGACACCGGGACGAUCGCGUCCAACAACGGGAGGAGCUCGGAAACUUAUUCAGAAAGGACAAUGCCCUCCUGUAAGGUGUGGGGAAAAAGAUGCCAGGAGAAUCUCAUCCUUUAAAACUCACCCAGAAAGGUAGAUCUACGAACCAGUAAGACUCAUUUUUCUUCUUGUUCUUUGUGGUUUUGGAGGCCGCCGCGCCGCUUUCUCACAAACACGCACACAUGCACACACACUGACUUUAACAUUCUCCCCUAUCUCUGUGCAGUGUAUUGGAGGUGCCUUGUCAUGGGCCUUGGUCAUGACUGUUUCUGUCUAAUGAGAUUGAAAUGUUUUUUUUCUGUAUGUUUUGUUGUAUUUGCUUGGCUCCCAUCACUGUGCUUUGUGCUAUGCUACUUUCAUUUUUUUUUUUUUUGACAAUAUUACCGUCCGUCUAGCCAAUAUAGUCUUCGCAUCCAAUUCGAACAUGGCCACCCAAUUGUUUACCGGUUUGCCCAAAAUGGCCACCCUCUUCAUUUUCUCUUCUUUUUUCCCUCUCUGUUGAGCAGAUAGCUGACCUUUUAAUUGUGUUGGGAGGGAGGCCUCCCAACACAAUUGGAGCAUUUAGUCUUUUGAUGUUUUGGUUAGUGAGGUUAUUUAGAAGAUUGCAGAAUGGCUGGAAGCUGUAGGAGAGAAAUUCUGUCCCCUUGUUUAUUUUGGGGGCUUAAAUACGUAGUAGGACAAGACUGGUUCUGGUUUUAGUGAAUUUUUGUUUGGAACUGCUAAGCUAGUGAUGGUGUGACAGGGAAUGGUGAGAUGUUUGGUCAGGACUGGACUGAUAGGUGCAAGGCCUGAGGGGACUGUCUCAGGGCUCUAUGGAGGAUCACACAGGUUUUAUGUUCACUCAGGGCAGGUGGUGGAAUUUUGAAUGUAUAUUGGUUUGAGCAUAUGUAUGUUAGUGGCAGAUUUUGUGUACAAUGAUUUGGUGGAGCUGUAGUAGAUGAUAGGAGUGGAAUAGUUUUUGAAUGUUGUGUUAUAAGUCAGAAUUCUCUAACUUGGCCUGUUGGCUGUGUAAUGAAGUGUUUUGUCUUGGCUGUCAUGAGUAUGUCCAAGUUUUGAUAAAUGUUUGUGCACUAACAUUUUCUUUGUAGGUAAAUCUACAAUUGGUGAGUACCUUUUUUUUUAUAUAUAUAUAUAUAUUCUUGGGUGGCUGCCAUGCCAUACUUAUCUGUCUCUAUAGUAGGGCUGAACAAUUGUUUUUGUAAUCCCAUUUUAUAAUAUUGAGCUGCAAUGUUAUGCAUAUUGUUCAGUCUUACUCUAGAUUUGUUAUAUUUUGACUGUUUUAGACUGUUAAAACAAAUCAAAUCCAACACACACAGCCCUAAAUCCAUUGAAUUGGAUUUUCUUGGCAAAUGCAUCACCACACAAACACAUUUACACUGUUAAAGCUUAUCAUUAACACUAUUUAUUCCAAAAAAAAAAAAAGAUUCUAGAAACCCAUGAAAUUUCUGUUAAGGGGCAAAUUUAGCUUUUAAUCACACUCUGGCCAUCUGAGUCAGUUAACAUGCUUGUCCGUCCGACUUAGCUGCAUUUCAGGCCGUGCAUUGUCCGACUUAGCUGCAUUUCAGGCCGUGCAUUUGUCCGACUUAGCUGCAUUUCAGGCCGUGCAUUUGUCCGACUUAGCUGCAUUUCAGGCCGUGCAUUUGUCCGACUUAGCUGCAUUUCAGGCCGUGCAUUUGUCCGACUUAGCUGCAUUUCAAGCCUGCGUUCAUCCGACUUAGCUGCAUUUCAAGCCAUGCGUUCAUCCGACUUAGCUGCAUUUCAAGCCAUGCGUUCAUCCGACUUAGCUGCAUUUCAAGCCAUGCGUUCAUCCGACUUAGCUGCAUUUCAAGCCAUGCGUUCAUCCGACUUAGCUGCAUUUCAAGCCAUGCGUUCAUCCAUCCGACUUAGCUGCAUUUCAGGCUGUGCGGUCGUCCAUUCAACUUACCUGCAUUUCAGGUCAUACUUUUGUUGAUCAUAGGAUUGCGUCUUUGUUUGUUGUUUUUUUUGUUUUUUUGGGCCGCUGUGCCAUCUCUUCUCUAUCCCUCACUGGUUUGUCUUGGCCGCCGUGCCCAUCUACCGAUCUAUCCCUUUCUCGUUCAUUUGUGCAAUAUCGCGGUUGGUCCGUUCAAAAUUUUCCCGAUUCGCUUGUUCUUCUAAUAUUAAACAUCAUAUAUGAUUAGACUGAUCAUCUGAACAUCAUAGCUGUUUAGAUGAUAAAUCUAAUCCUCUAAAAAUGUAAUCUAAUAAUAAAUGCUUUGUUUUUUCUUUUCCCUUUUGUAACUGCUGAGCUAGUGAUCUGAAAUGAUCAAAUGUUAGGUCAGAACUGGGCUGUAAUGUGUAAAGUCAGCUAUCUCUCAUCAGCCUGUUUUGAGUUGUGUAGUGUUGGUGCUUUGUCUUGACCGCUGUACCUUUUUUAAAGCCUAAGCUGUCAGUCUUCAUCUUACACAAGAGUAUUGCGUCUUUGUUUGUUUUUUUUUUUAUUAUUUUUGGGCCACCGUGCCAUCUCUUGUCUAUCCCUCACUGGUUUAUCUUGGCCGCCGUGCCCAUCUACCGAUCUAUCCUUUCUCGUUUAUCCGUCCAACAUGGAUGCACACCCAGGAUGACAUAAUCCAAGAUUUACAAUUAUCCGUUUGCCUACCCGUUAGUUUGUAUAAUCGGUUUCGUUUUUUCCCGGUGAAUCUACAAACAAGUAAGUCCUGUUUGCUUAAUUAUGGCUGCCAUGCCACCCCUUUCUUUCCUCUGUCUCUCACAUGAACACGCACACAUACACUCACACUGAUACUUAUGCACUCUCUAUCCGCUGUCUUUUUCCAAUUAUGUUGUGUAUUGAAGGCCGCCGUGCCUGACACAAACACGCACACAUGCACGCACACUGAUAUUUACACUUUGUCUGUCUUGUGUGUGUGGUGUGUUUGUCUCUUUCUGUUUGACUGACAGACAUACAGAUUAGUUUUAGCAGGCUGUGUUUGUCUUUGUCUUGUGUGUUAAUCUGUCUGUCUCUUUGUGUCUGUGUGACAUUCAAUUUAGCUUGAUUUGUGCCUGUCUUUGUGUGCGUGUCUGUCUAACUCACUGUCAAAUUAGCUUUAUUGGACAACUAACAUUUAAAUUGCCUUUAUUGGACUUAGUGACAGUCAAAUUUUUGACAGACUGACGACUGACAGACUGUGACGACUAAUGAGAAACCUAUAUUAAAAUAUCAAUACUAUAUAUUAAAAUGAACACUGACAGAUAAUUGGCAGUACAGGCAAGAUAUGUAAACAUCAACAAUCCUAUCAAUUUAAUGAGAGAUUUUGAAUAAUUAUCUACAAUUGAACUCAUGCCCAUGCAGGAAAGAAAAGUCCAAAACAAUGAAAGAAAUUAGACCUACAUGGUUUGUGCCAUGUCGGUCUAUUUCCAUCUCUCUAAUUGGCUUUGGUGCAGCAACUUUUUUCCCCAGGUAUAUCUACAAAAGUAAGUAUCUUUUUUUUCUAAGUGCUAUGCAAAGGCAACUGACAUUUUUUAAAGACCUUUCAUCUGAAAGGCUUCUUCAGUUCUGUCCAGUUGCCUUUGUAUAGCACUUAGAAAUACCAUGACCUGGAUGGCUGACUAUCUUAAAACAAGUAAGUAUCUUACUGU